UACGAAGGGGGCUAGCGUUGCUCGGAAUUACUGGGCGUAAAGGGCGCGUAGGCGGAUAUCUAAGUUGGGGGUGAAAUCCCGGGGCUCAACCUCGGAAUUGCCUUCAAAACUGGAUAUCUUGAGUUCGGGAGAGGUGAGUGGAACUGCGAGUGUAGAGGUGAAAUUCGUAGAUAUUCGCAAGAACACCAGUGGCGAAGGCGGCUCACUGGCCCGGUACUGACGCUGAGGUGCGAAAGCGUGGGGAGCAAACAGG
RNAcentral lists this ribosomal RNA (253 nucleotides) under uncultured bacterium. RNAcentral's name for it is "partial 16S ribosomal RNA". It matches the Rfam family "Bacterial small subunit ribosomal RNA", at positions 524 to 776 of the family's 1533-position model. The record is from RNAcentral.